Molecule: long non-coding RNA, 3618 nt
Organism: Hippopotamus amphibius kiboko
Lineage: Eukaryota; Metazoa; Chordata; Mammalia; Artiodactyla; Hippopotamidae
Exons: 4
Source: RefSeq, a predicted model, not a curated record
GUCACACGCCCGCGCCGGUGUUACCCGGCCGCACGCCACCGCCGGCUAGCGGCCGGGCUGCGCGGUGACGCGUCCGCCUGACGGUCUCGGCGGGCUUUGACGCCGGACGCCGGCUUGAAAGGAAGGUGAUGGGCCAGAUGAGGCCCAAUGAUCACAGUGUGCCAACAAGUGAUGGAGAGGAAAGGCUCUCCUUUUAGGAAAUAACUGCAAAGUAUUUCGUGCGGGUGACGUGUCAUGCUAAUAAAUGAAUACAUAAUCACACAUAGUAUGCAAGCAAAGACGGCAAGACGUUAACGACGGCGGACUCCAGUGGCAGGAAUGCAGGUGUUCAUUCGCCCAACUCUUCCUGUUGAAAAAGCUGUCUAAGCCCUUUCAGCAGCAGAGGCGCUGCGGAGCAGGACGAGCCCCCGCCGCACCAGCCGGUCCUCGCGGAGGUGCGGGGCGGCGAAACGACACAUCCCCGCGCUGCAGAGAGGACGGGGCUCCGCGCAGCGAAAAAGCCUAAGGAAGACGACAAAGCCUAAAGAAAAGAGCGAUUUCAGCAGACAUUCAGUGAAUGUCUGCCAGGAAAUUUCACCAAAAGAAUGCAAGGAAAUGCACCAACAUAUAGUGUUUUUUCAAAAUUUUUUAUUUAUUGAUUGAUUGGCUGUGUUGGGUCUUCGUUGCUGCAGGUCGGCUUUCUUUAGUUGCAGUGAGCGAGAUCCCCAUUGCCAUGGCUUCUCUUGUUGCGGAGCACGGGCUCCAGGCCUCCUCCCUCCCACUUUGAUGGAAAAGUGCAUCUGCAUCACAUGUGAGCCAGACCUCCUCAGAGGUGGGAGUGCCUGCUGGACGGUAACUUUUCAAAGUCUGCUGUGCGUCGCAGGCAAGAACCAUCCAUGGAUACUAAAAUCAGUGGCAAAGGAUGGUGACAAAUGUGAUAUCUGCGUAGCCUCAAAAGUCCGUAUCCGUUACAGUGGGGAAAACAGUAACUUUACAAAGGAGGAAGCUGGCAGACACACCUUCACUCAGGAUGGAGAUCUGCAGCACCAGCGCAAGGUGUGUGCACAUCAUGUGCCCUCGAUAUGCUGCACUGAAAGGACAGCCUCACUUUGGUCGUGUUCCUGCCCCAAACACACCACCUGCACCUACUCAGGAGAAACAGCAGACGCACCCAGACUAGGGUCUUCCUCAACAUAAGCAAUCCACGCUCUUUCCAUGUGUCAAGGUCAUGAAAGACAAAGACUGGGAAGCUGUCCCAGGUUGAAGGCGGCUCGGGAGACUUGAUCGGGAGGGACCAGGCAGAGGACUGUGGUGGGGCAGCAGUGAAACGUGUGUGGAUUCUGGACACGCGCUCAUCACAGUGCGUCUCAAGGCUCAUUUCCUGCUUUUCAUAAGUACACUACGUUUAGGCCUGUGUAAGAGGUUAAUUAACAUUUAGGGAAACUGGAUGAAGAGUUUACGAAACCUUCAUCUAAAACUAUUUCAGUAUAAAAAGUUUUUAAAAAUAGAAAAGCAAAAACAAAGUCUGAGAGGACUUGGGGAAAGGAUAUAUUUUCCCAGUUCUACACACAUUACACACCCUCCACCCCAUUCCACCCCGAGGGCAGGGUUCUUCUCUGUCCUGCUUGUCUGCACCCAGGACGGUGCCUAAGAGGUGACAGUAUGCAGAACAGCUGUGAAUAACUCACAAAUUAGCAACGGAAGUGUGUCCGCGUCUUCCACAAAUGACAAACACCAGCACCUCUCAUUCCCUGCAGCACCGUGGGGCUGCACGUGUCAUCCUCAGGGUGUCCUGCUUGUGUUUGUUUUCUGGGAUGUAGAAAAACCCCUGUUCCUGGAUCCUCUGCGUUUUCCUAGGUCGUGGUCUCUCAACUCCAGGCUCGACUUGGUGAAGACAGGUAGGCCCGGGGGGGCGGGGGGGUGUGUGUGUGUGUGUGUGUGUGUGUGUGAGAGAGAGAGAGAGAGAGAGACAUCCUUGCGGCAUGAUUUUGCACCCGUGCUAGGAAGCGUGUACAUGGUGUACCAGGGAGGUGACUCAGUUUCCUGGAGCUGCUAGAACAAAGUGCCCAAAACUGGGUGGCUUAGAACAGUAGAAAGCUAUUGUCUCCCAGUUCCAGAGGUUAGAAUUCUGAAAUCAAUGUGUCCAAAGGGCCAGACUUCCUCUGAAGGCUCCGGGGAGGGUCCUUCCUGCCUGUUCCUGCUUCUGGGGCUCCUGGUGUCCCUGGGCUUGUGGCAGCAUCACAGCAGCUCCGCCUCUGUCAUUGGCCCACCCUAAUCCACUGUUAACCUCAUCGUAACUAAGUAUAUCUGCAAAGAUCUUAUUUCCAAAUGAAGGUCACACUCUGAGGUUCUGGGUGGAUGUGGAGGACACUGUUGAACACACUACAGAAGAUGUAAAGAAGAUAAAAUAAAUAAUAGUCACUACCAUCCAUCUAACGAGGGCCUGCUGUACAUCUGAAAAGAAUCCUGGAAGGGUGGGGUGGUUUUUUCCCUUUUGUAGGUGAGCAAAGAGGCUUACAGGUUACGUUCUUGCCCAGAAUCUGAAAAAGACAAGGCGAAAGUAACACCCAGGCCAGCCCGUGUGUCCAGCACAGCUGUGAGCGCCCUGUAUCUGAGCCAGGACCGCUUCACGGGUGGCAGGGGGUCCACGUGUGCAGUCAACAGCACAGUCCCAAUCCUGGUGUAGCUCUGGUGCUGCCUUCUUGAAAUUCUCAGUACUUUUUGAACAAGGGCCCGAAGAUUCAUCCUGCACAUGCGUUAGACAGCCCGUCCUCUCCAGCUGUUGUUGUGGCCAAGCCUCUCCCCCUGCCAGACCCCCACCCCAUCCUCUGUGCGCCCUGCUGCUCAGAGCUGCUCUCCAGACAGAUGGACGGACAGGUGGACGCAAACCCAUUCACCGCAUGUUGUGUGCUUCUCCCCCCAUAUUUAUCCCUCAAUUGUUAGUAUAGAAAAUUAGGGGAAUAAAAAAAAAGUUAAGGGAGGGAACCAAUCAUAGUCUCAUAGCCUAAAGGAAAAUUUUCUGACAGAUCUGUUUAUUUUCUGUGCAUAGGAUUUUCAUUAAGUGUAUGUUAAUUUAAUAGAAUAUGUUAAUUAUAUUAAUCACGCUAUAUUGAAACUGCUUUUCAAUAACAUAUCUAGCAUUUUCCCAUGAUAUCAACUUCUCAAGAAUAUGGAAUAUUCCAAAAUAAAACUUUUUCUCUAAAAACAAAGAGUCCUUUAAAUAAAACUUUGGGAAAAUACAGAAAAGCAUAGGAAAUUGUUAAAUACCCAUCCCCACCUCCAGUGAUGGCUGCUGUUGACAUGGGUGAGUAUCUGUCAGUCCCGCAGGUGCCUGGACCCCACCGAGCCCCAGGGACUCAGAACCUCCAGGGAAAAGGGCCGGGAACUCGGCGUUUCAACAAGCACCCAGUGCGGCCAACAUUGGGUCCUGGGAGACAACGGUUCUAUAAACACUUCUUCCCGACUACACAGGGCUCUUUGCUGUGGACAGAGGCUGGCAUGGAGAUGGCUUCUGAAUUCUAGGGUGGAUGUUUUUAUAGAUAAAUCUCCUGUCCACCCAUUAAUUUUCCCUCAAAUAAAUUCCUGGCAUCAACUGCUGUAAUUGCGAAGUUUCAUUUAGAAGUAAGUGUAACUGAGCAG